This 500-nucleotide ribosomal RNA is filed under the name uncultured bacterium. Its description in RNAcentral is "partial 16S ribosomal RNA". It matches the Rfam family "Bacterial small subunit ribosomal RNA", at positions 29 to 523 of the family's 1533-position model. The record is from RNAcentral.
AUUGAACGCUGGCGGCAUGCCUUACACAUGCAAGUCGAACGGCAGCGCGGGAGCAAUCCUGGCGGCGAGUGGCGAACGGGUGAGUAAUGCAUCGGAACGUGCCUAGUAGUGGGGGAUAACUGCUCGAAAGAGCAGCUAAUACCGCAUACGACCUGAGGGUGAAAGGGGGGGAUCGCAAGACCUCUCGCUAUUAGAGCGGCCGAUGUCGGAUUAGCUAGUUGGUGGGGUAAAGGCCCACCAAGGCAACGAUCCGUAGCUGGUCUGAGAGGACGACCAGCCACACUGGGACUGAGACACGGCCCAGACUCCUACGGGAGGCAGCAGUGGGGAAUUUUGGACAAUGGACGCAAGUCUGAUCCAGCCAUGCCGCGUGCGGGAAGAAGGCCUUCGGGUUGUAAACCGCUUUUGUCAGGGAAGAAAUCUUCUGGGCUAAUACCCCGGGAGGAUGACGGUACCUGAAGAAUAAGCACCGGCUAACUACGUGCCAGCCGCCGCCGUAA